RNAcentral lists this transfer RNA (73 nucleotides) under Rhinolophus hildebrandti (Hildebrandt's horseshoe bat). RNAcentral describes it as "tRNA-Thr". The record is from RNAcentral. Lineage: Eukaryota; Metazoa; Chordata; Mammalia; Chiroptera; Rhinolophidae.
AGUCUCUGUAGUAUAUUACAUUACCCUGGUCUUGUAAACCAGAAAAGGGGAACAACACUCCCCCAUAGACUUC